This 506-nucleotide ribosomal RNA is filed under the name uncultured bacterium. Its description in RNAcentral is "partial 16S ribosomal RNA". It matches the Rfam family "Bacterial small subunit ribosomal RNA", at positions 29 to 523 of the family's 1533-position model. The record is from RNAcentral.
AGUGAACGCUGGCGGCAGGCCUAACACAUGCAAGUCGAACGGCAGCACAGGAGAGCUUGCUCUCUGGGUGGCGAGUGGCGGACGGGUGAGGAAUAUAUCGGAAUCUACCCUUUCGUGGGGGAUAACGUAGGGAAACUUACGCUAAUACCGCAUACGAACUGAGGUUGAAAGCGGCGGACCGCAAGGCGUCGCGCGGAUGGAUGAGCCGAUAUCCGAUUAGCUAGUUGGCGGGGUAAAGGCCCACCAAGGCGACGAUCGGUAGCUGGUCUGAGAGGAUGAUCAGCCACACUGGAAAUGAGACACGGUCCAGACUCCUACGGGAGGCAGCAGUGGGGAAUAUUGGACAAUGGGCGCAAGCCUGAUCCAGCCAUGCGGCGUGUGUGAAGAAGGCCUUCGGGUUGUAAAGCACUUUUGUUGGGAAAGAAAAGCGGUCGGUUAAUACCCGGUCGUUCUGACGGUACCCAAAGAAUAAGCACCGGCUAAUUUCGUGCCAGCCGCCGCCGUAA